AUGGCGAUGAUGCUGGACGCCUUCGCGUCCUACCUCGGCGACCUGCUCAAGCAGACGGCGGAGGAGGAGCUGGGGAUGAUGCUCGGCGUCUCCGGCGACAUUGACAAGAUGGGCGUCAAGCUCGGGGGCCUCAAGAACCUCCUUGCUGAUGCCGAGAGGAGGCGCAUCACAGAUGAUAGCGUGCAGCAAUGGGUGACCGAGCUCAAGCGCGCCAUGUACGAAGCCACCGACAUCCUUGACCUCUGCCAGCUCAAAAUCAUGGAGAGGGGAUCGUCUACCCCAGACAUUGGAUGCUGCAAUCCCUUGCUCUUCUGCUUGAGGAAUCCCCGCUUCACCCAUGAAAUCGGCGGCUGCAUCAAGAAGCUCAACCAGACGCUCGACUCCAUCAAGGAGCGAAGCUCUUCCUUCAGCUUCCUCAAUCUCACUUCCUAUGAAGAUCGGAUGAGAGUCUGA
RNAcentral lists this ribosomal RNA (453 nucleotides) under Triticum aestivum (bread wheat). RNAcentral describes it as "partial small subunit ribosomal RNA". Lineage: Eukaryota; Viridiplantae; Streptophyta; Magnoliopsida; Poales; Poaceae. The record is from RNAcentral.